CGCCACGGGAGGAGCGCGCGGAACCCGGAAGAACUAGGCGGAGCGAAACUGAAACCACCCGCAACGAACUUUGACGAAAGCCUUUUGCAGCUGAAAUCCGCAAAUGCCUUUAAUAUCCUCCCUGAGGCGCGCAAGAGACAAAAAUGACUUUAGAGCGACCCCGACCCUAUUUUACCACCCACAGACACACAAAAACGAACACAGCAAAAGUAGAAAACCCAAUCCCUGUGCUCUUUAUGAAACAGGCAUUUAAGAACAGAAAGAAGCAGUGCUCAAGUGGGAGGAAAUAUUUGCAAAACAAUGAAGUGAAAUGAUCUCCUGGGAAAGGUGGGAAGCAGGAGAAAGGCGGAGUGAAACGACAGGGAGUUUCUCAGCGCUUCGGCUCCACCCGGGAGACCAAAGCCCCGGACGGCUCAGCGGGAGGCUCAGAUGUUUCCCCGCGCGAUGUCCUCUGUUUUCCGUCGCCAAGUCCGGGUCCCAAAGGCGCUGGCUGAGAGCCCCACGUUCCUUCGUUGCAUCCUGGCUCUGCUUCUGCUGCGGGACUGUCCCUGGACCGCACAGGCCGAGGACCUGGACUAAGGAAUGGAUUCACCAGAGGAAAUUAUAUUUCAUGAGAUGGAACAUUCUGGGAAUGCUGACACUCAGCAGACCCCUUACUAUAUCAAAAGUAAGAAAUUGCAUGCUUGGUCAUUUGGGUCCCACAAGUCCUCUGUCAAAUUUGCUCAUUUGUGUUUAA
Molecule: long non-coding RNA, 736 nt
Filed under: Macaca nemestrina (pig-tailed macaque)
Lineage: Eukaryota; Metazoa; Chordata; Mammalia; Primates; Cercopithecidae
Description: lncRNA (ENSMNEG00000045642.1)
Source: RNAcentral